GACGUAGGGGGCCAGCGUUGCUCGGAAUUACUGGGCGUAAAGGGUUCGUAGGCGGUGCGGCAAGUCGAAAGUGACAUCUCUGGGCUUAACUCAGAGGCUGCUUCCGAAACUGCCGUGCUAGAGUGCGGGAGAGGCGAGUGGAAUUGCAGGUGUAGCGGUGAAAUGCGUAGAUAUCUGUCGGAACAGCCGUGGCGAAGGCGGCUCGCUGGACCGCAACUGACGCUGAGGAACGAAAGCGAGGGGAGCAAACAGG
RNAcentral lists this ribosomal RNA (253 nucleotides) under uncultured bacterium. Its description in RNAcentral is "partial 16S ribosomal RNA". It matches the Rfam family "Bacterial small subunit ribosomal RNA", at positions 524 to 776 of the family's 1533-position model. The record is from RNAcentral.